Molecule: transfer-messenger RNA, 399 nt
Filed under: Candidatus Brevifilum fermentans
Lineage: Bacteria; Bacillati; Chloroflexota; Anaerolineae; Anaerolineales; Anaerolineaceae
Description: Brevefilum fermentans tmRNA
Rfam family: transfer-messenger RNA
About the family: Bacterial tmRNA, also known as 10Sa RNA or SsrA, is named for its dual tRNA and mRNA-like properties. Its role is to liberate the mRNA from a stalled ribosome.
Source: RNAcentral
GGGGAUGAUCGGCUUCGACGGGAGAGGCUGGUCCCGGAUUGCGAGUCGAGAGGUACCGAACUCGUAAAAUCAGUACAAAACAAAAGUGCCAAUCGCACACAAUAUGCAGCUUUACCCCUUGCAGCCUAAACUGUAGGGCGUUAAGCUCAGACCUCUGAAGAGGUCACGUCACCCACGCUCCGUUUGCCUGGCCGGAGAUGGAGUUGGCGUCGCAAAGUCAGGAUGCCACGCAGGAUGCCGUUAAAUGCGUGAAAGAGGGGCUUUCGGGUCCCAACGGCUGGCGAGAGGGUCGCCCGGUUGGCUGGCUAACCUCAAGCGAGAACGAAUAAGCCGACUACACUCGUAGAUAUUCGUGGGUCGAAUCUUUCGGACGCGGGUUCGAUUCCCGCCAUCUCCACA